RNAcentral lists this unclassified non-coding RNA (269 nucleotides) under uncultured fungus. Its description in RNAcentral is "partial contains 5.8S ribosomal RNA, internal transcribed spacer 2, and large subunit ribosomal RNA". The stretch from base 1 to 52 matches the Rfam family "5.8S ribosomal RNA", at positions 103 to 154 of the family's 154-position model. The record is from RNAcentral. Lineage: Eukaryota; Fungi.
AACGCACCUUGCGCCCUCUGGUAUUCCGGAGGGCAUGCCUGUUUGAGUGUCAUGAAGACUUCAACCCCUCGGGUUUUUGCCCGGGGAUGUUGGACUUGGGUGCCUGCCACGCUGUUGGCUCACCUCAAAUGUGUCAGUGGUAAUCAGACCUUUGACUGGAGUAAUAAGUUUCUCUUGUCUGUCGGUCAUCGAUGGCUGCUUCGAACCCUGCCCCCUGUGGCAAUUCUGACUCUGACCUCAAAUCAGGUAGGACUACCCGCUGAACUUAA